CCCUCCACUACUGCCUUUGCCCCAGCUCAGACGCCCGCCUGGCGCAAAGAGCUGGUUGUUGGAGUCGAUCAAUCCAGGCUUGGUGAUUUUCGUUAGCCGGCUGGUGUCAAUAGGCCGGUUGCCCUUGCUGAUGGGCACAGUGUUCCAGCCGUCAUCUGCAACCAGGCUGCUGCGUCCACCGCUGAUGGAUGGUCCAGGAGGUCCUCUCCUUUUGUCUUUUGACAUGAGCUGCUGCACUUUGAUGUGUUCCCGAUGCUCCUCCAUCUCCGCCUCUUUGUGGAUCUGGUCGAUGGUUUUGGGGCCCUGAUCUCCUCGCCGUGGCACCCAGCUAUUCCGCCUGAGAUCAAUCACAUCCUGCAGCAUAAAACGGAUUCGGGAUGAUGUCUUCUUCUCCUUGAUGAUUUUCUCCAUCUGGUUAAAGUACUGGUCCAUUCUGGGCUUGGCCUUCUCAAAG
Molecule: long non-coding RNA, 454 nt
Filed under: Gallus gallus (chicken)
Lineage: Eukaryota; Metazoa; Chordata; Aves; Galliformes; Phasianidae
Source: RNAcentral